RNAcentral lists this ribosomal RNA (468 nucleotides) under uncultured bacterium. Its description in RNAcentral is "partial 16S ribosomal RNA". It matches the Rfam family "Bacterial small subunit ribosomal RNA", at positions 28 to 507 of the family's 1533-position model. The record is from RNAcentral.
GACGAACGCUGGCGGCGUGCUUAACACAUGCCAGUCGAACGGAAAGGCCCUGCUUUUGUGGGGUGCUCGAGUGGCGAACGGGUGAGUAACACGUGAGUAACCUGCCCUUGACUUUGGGAUAACUUCAGGAAACUGGGGCUAAUACCGGAUAGGAGCUCCUGCUGCAUGGUGGGGGUUGGAAAGUUUCGGCGGUUGGGGAUGGACUCGCGGCUUAUCAGCUUGUUGGUGGGGUAGUGGCUUACCAAGGCUUUGACGGGUAGCCGGCCUGAGAGGAUGACCGGCCACAUUGGGACUGAGAUACGGCCCAGACUCCUACGGGAGGCAGCAGUGGGGAAUAUUGCACAAUGGGCGGAAGCCUGAUGCAGCAACGCCGCGUGCGGGAUGACGGCCUUCGGGUUGUAAACCGCUUUCGCCUGUGACGAAGCGUGAGUGACGGUAAUGGGUAAAGAAGCACCGGCUAACUACGUG